CCCUAGGAUGCGAGCGAUCUCUCUCUCUGCCUUGCAUUCACCACUUGGCUUAUGCCUUACAACACCUUGUGUCCCUUCUCCUCCUCGCUUCCAUUUUAAAUUGACACUGCGCACUGUACACUGCCCCGAGCAUCUAGGAUCUCUACUCGUUCGUAUCUACAUAUACAAACAAUCCGUUAAUAAUUGCUCCAAUGGCCAGCGGGCGUCUUGACCAACUGUCUAUAUCACCGAUAACGCACCUACCACAUUCCUUUCAUUCAUACAUUUUUUCGCAACACUUAACUUGCCAUGCUAAUUCUACCAUUUGCCAUAUGCAAUUAUAAUACUGUAG
RNAcentral lists this small RNA (331 nucleotides) under Cryptococcus neoformans H99. Its description in RNAcentral is "Cryptococcus neoformans var. grubii H99 hypothetical RNA". The record is from RNAcentral. Lineage: Eukaryota; Fungi; Basidiomycota; Tremellomycetes; Tremellales; Cryptococcaceae.